This 272-nucleotide small RNA is filed under the name Vigna angularis var. angularis. RNAcentral describes it as "Non-protein coding transcript". Lineage: Eukaryota; Viridiplantae; Streptophyta; Magnoliopsida; Fabales; Fabaceae. The record is from RNAcentral.
UUAUUCUGUGUGUGGCUAUUUCUUAAGGCAAAAUGAUAGUGAGAGAUUACAAGUGGAAUAUUGGUUGUGUAACAUGAGUAUAUCCACAAUGUGAAUUAGGUAACAGAAUUUGAAUUAUUUAAUCAUAGUCAAGAUAGUGGAUGAGUAUAUCUGAUUUAACACUUUGAAUCGUUUUAUGAGAUGAAAAAUUUUAAUAUAAAGCCCACAUUGAAUCCAUCAAUCCCACAAGAAAUGAGUCUCACAAACUGGCAUACUAUGCUCAAAAGCAAUAU